CGCCUUGCCAGCCCGCUCAGAAACUCAAAGGAAUUGACGGGGGCCCGCACAAGCGGUGGAGCAUGUGGUUUAAUUCGAUGAUACGCGAGGAACCUUACCUGGGCUCAAAUGUAUGUUGACGUAUUCUGAAAGGGAUACUUCUUCGGACAAUAUACAAGGUGCUGCAUGGUUGUCGUCAGCUCGUGCCGUGAGGUGUCGGGUUAAGUCCCAUAACGAGCGCAACCCCUAUCAUUAGUUGCCAUCAGGUUAAGCUGGGGACUCUAAAGGAACUGCCUACGCAAGUAGUGAGGAAGGCGGGGAUGACGUCAAAUCAGCACGGCCCUUACGUCCAGGGCUACACACGUGCUACAAUGGCCGAUACAGAGGGCAGCUACCUGGUGACAGGAUGCAAAUCUCCAAAGUCGGUCUCAGUUCGGAUCGGAGUCUGCAACCCGACUCCGUGAAGUUGGAUUCGCUAGUAAUCGUGAAUCAGAAUGUCACGGUGAAUACGUUCCCGGGCCUU
Molecule: ribosomal RNA, 502 nt
Filed under: uncultured Sphingobacteriales bacterium
Lineage: Bacteria; Pseudomonadati; Bacteroidota; Sphingobacteriia; Sphingobacteriales
Description: bacterial SSU rRNA
Rfam family: Bacterial small subunit ribosomal RNA
Source: RNAcentral